RNAcentral lists this long non-coding RNA (2025 nucleotides) under Homo sapiens (human). RNAcentral's name for it is "HSALNT0322909". The record is from RNAcentral. Lineage: Eukaryota; Metazoa; Chordata; Mammalia; Primates; Hominidae.
UGUUAGUUAACUCCACAAAUUAGUGCAGUGGCCAUGACAGUCGAGGCCCCCAGUCCCCAGUCCCCUAGGCUUAUACAACAGACGCCGGUUGUCCCAUCCUUUGCUCAAUCCUAUUUAAGACGAGGAUUGUGCACUCCUGGCUGGAGUCCAGGAGGGUGGGAGCCACUGGGUGGUAGUGGAGCGGCCCUGUCUCCAGGCCAGACUCUCCUGCUCCUGGCCCUCUUGACGCUCACAGAGUGGCCUCUGUGGCUGCCGAGCCCUGUGCUGCAGCAUAAAUCCUCAGCUUUUGUCUGUGUUUAAUCCCACCCUGAGAAGUGAUAUCCAAGUGCAACUGUUUCCAGCCAGGAGCGCAGCUCCCAGGCCCUGCUGCUGCCUACCCAAGACAAACAGAUGUAACAAGGAAUUUCUAGCACAGUGCUGGUCCUCUGUGUUAAUAAAUGGCCGACCAGGAGUACUGGGUAAUGCAAGCUGGGAACUCCCCAUCACACACAGACACUGGAGCCGGCUCUGACACAUGGGGCAGAGACUCGGCCUUUGGUUCCCUGAGGACUGAAUUUACACACCCUCUUAGUUGCCACCCAACUGUUUCUAGCUAAAGCUAUUUUUGAAGUAUCCUGAAGGAAAGCACACAAGACUCUAGCCUCUCCCUGCCUGUCCUGGGUUUCCAAGGUCAGGAUAUGGUGGAAAGACCUGUUCAAGGGACAUGGCAUGGAGGGAGCUGUCACAGUUACAGAGAAGGGAGCCCCCUUUUUGGUCAAAGGCAAGUAUUGUGAAAGGUUACUUUUCUAGAAAGGCACAAACAUCAACCCAAGCCCCUAAUAAAGCGGGGCCCAGUAAACUGUGCAGAUAACUGAAGCACUAAAGAGAGAAAAAGACAUCUAGUCAUUUGUAAUACAGCUUUGGUGCAUGAUAUAUAACAUUUUGUACAUUAAAAGGUUUUUGGCGAUUUCUCUUUAAAGCAGACCACAAAGUAGACAAGAGAUUGGUUAUUAUGGAACACUUGUGUGUUAAACGCGAUUUCCAUCUCUGCGGCACCCAAUUCCAGAAACGUUAACUGGACAAUCCUCAGGGGAUGGUGGAUCAUCUGCAUCUGUUUCCAGACGUGCAUGAAGGAUCUCCUUCGUACACCUACACAACCCAUGCGAUUUCCCUUGAACCAUGACUAACCAGCUGUCUGGACGACAUCCAGGGCGAGUCACAAGAGGCUUGGGAAUCCUGGGAGGCUGUUUUCAGAUUAUGGAAAUGCAAAUCAAAUCCUCCCUGAUACGACUUCACACCCACUAGGACGGCUAUAGAAUCAAAAAGAUGGACAAUAACAAGUGCUGGUGAGGACAUGGAGCAACUGGAACCCUUGCACACUAACAGGUGAGACUGUAAGAUGGUGCGGCCAUUUUAGAAUACAGUCUGGCACUUCCUCAUUAUAUGAAUGAAACACAGCAUUACCAUAUGACCCAGAAAUUCCAUUCCUAUAGGUAUACAUCCAGCCUGUGUGCAAAAACUUGUACAUGAAUGUUUAAGGCUGCAUUAUUCCUAAUAGCCAAAAUGUGGAAACAACUCAAAUGUCCAUCAACUGAUGAAUGGACAGACAAAAUGGAAUGUGUCCGUACAAUGGUGAAGGGGCUUGGCAGACGAGCAGCCCCAUUUAGCCCUAAAAAGGCGUGAAGGACUGAUGCGUGCCGCAACACAGAUGUACUUUUCAUAAAAUGUCCAGAUAAAAUAAAAAUAAAUAAAUAAUACAAAGUCAAUAAAUACAUAAAAUAUCCAGAUAAAAUGCUUGACACUAUAUAAUUAAUAAUAAGAAAUAAACUAAAAAAAAGUACACCAUAACUUCAGUUUUUGAAAGUCUUUAUUGCUAUCUUUCCUUCCUCCCUCCUCCUCCUUCUUCCUUCAUGAUGUUCAUCUGAUAUUAAAGGUAGUUAUUUCAAGGUGGUAGAACCUGAGAAUCUUUGUUUUUCUACAUUACUUAUAUUUUUUUAUGAUCAACAUAUAUUACUUUCCCCCAGAAAAUCAGUAAUUUCCUAAAAA